AUAAAACAAAGUUUUUUACAUAAGAGAUUUGGGAAAUGAGGGGUCCUAAGCUGGUUAGCGUACAAGAUCACCCCACACAAUGUCCGGUAAACACGCCUCGAUGAGGGGUUACACGUGACAGUAGCACGUAGUCAUCAUUAUCCCAUAUCUACCCUUCACACUCCCUUAGUGGUUAUUAAAGCGAGUGUUGGGUAGUGAUCUCUAUUGCAUAUUGUUACCCGUCCCUUCUUAAUGGUCCUGGAGGAAAUUUAGGGCCUCUACCUAUAGGGAGUUCUAGACAGAUCCCUAAGGUUUAAAGGAGAAAAUACUAAGGCGACAGGCAAGAACAAAUAGGACCUUAGCACAUGAGGCAGGAAAAAAAAGCAAUCAGAGGCUCAAGUUUACCUCUGCAAACAACGCACAUAAGCAGCACGACUCAAACACAAAUAAGGGUCGUAUUGUUAAAUAGUAUCCUAAGACAUGAUGUCUACGUGAAUAUCAAGACAUAUGAAAUAGGCAAUUUAUUUUUAUAAACUCAUAAGUAAAUACCCUAUCAGUUGCCUACAGAUUUUUAAGCCUAUUAAUCAGAACAACAUUAAGUAGCAGAAAUAAUUUCAGAAUUGGAAAAUUGAAAACGUCCUAUAGGCUUGCCUAAACGCUGAAUAGUGAUGUACUAAGAGCAUGAUAACUACAUUUGAUAUAGUAAAACAGUAGGCGUAUUUUAAAACUAACUCUUAAGUUCCUGUAGGUGUGUUGUCUAGUGAUAGAUUAGGGCAAUAUCUGAAAGAAUUAUUUCAGGAAAAACAAACCACUAAUUAGACCAAUUUCAAAGUAAACUAAUUACGAACUGGAUUGACUUAUUUAAACUAAACUAAUUUUUAUAUCUAUAUGCUAAUGUCGUCCUCUAUGAGCAUGAUAUAUAGUUGUUUACAAACUUAUAGGCAUGAUUGUUAGUGGAAAUAAAUGUAAACAACCAUUGGAACAGAAACUUGAACUUGGUACGUGCUUAUGUACGAUACCUAUUUAUGAAGUUGAUUGUAAAACCUAUAGGCAUGAUUUCUAGCAAGUGAGGCAAACAUAGCAAAUAUAGGCAAUCAUAUAAGCAUGGUUUCUAAUAUGGUAGGGCAGGCAUAGCAAACGGUAAGACCAAGUAACAAAUAAGGAAAGAAAUCAAUAUACGACCAAUAAAGAAAUAUUUCAAAUUCAAUAAGUAUAGGGUAAACAAUUAGGUCUAAGUUCAAAAAACUCUAAUUAAGGAGAUAGUUAGUAGGAAUAAAAUAACAAUACAGACAGGUAGGCGAAUCAAUCACUUUGAAUAUAAAGGGUAGGAAUCGAAGGUUUAAAGGAAGUUCUUCUAAUCAAACCAUACAAUAGGGAAUCCAGAAUCAAUCAAAGAGAUUCAUGAGUCAAUGGUUAUCAUAUAAAUAGAGUAAGAUUAGAAUAAUCAGACAUAGCAAACAUGAAGGUUAAAUAGCACUGGUAGAAAGAGGUAAUUCUUGAACAGUCAAGAAGAACAUAAGCAUAUAGGGUUGAUAUAAGUUAGGCUAAAAAUUCGGUAGGAACAUAUUCGAGGCAAUAUAAUCAUAGAAACUCAAACAAGAAAUGGUCAGUCAUGCUAAUACACAAAACCAAAUGAAAAACCUAGAAAAUUAGAGCUUUCAACAUAGACGAUUUGAAGAGGUAGUAAAAUCAUAGAAUUAGUCAAAAAUAUGCAAGAAACAGAAGUUUAAACACAAAUAAUCAAUUAAACAAAAUUUUAAAAGAAAUCUGAAACCCUAAUUUUGAGAAGAAGGUGAAGAACACUUGAAAUUAACGAUUCUUGUAAAGAGUUCCAAGGACAUUGUAAAACAUUAAAGAAACAAACUCAAAUCGUCGUAGAUAUGUGCAGAUCUAGGAGGAAGAAAUUAGGGUUUCAGAAGAAACACAUAUAUAGAUGAAAGAACUUAUCUAGAAUCCCAAGGAUCGUAACAAAUAUCGCAUGAUUUUGCUCGAAAUCAUGCUGAAGUAGCCAAGAACAGGCAAGUGACGAACCUUAGGUGCAAGUCGGCAUGGCCCUGUGUUGUUGAAGACCUUAGAGAACGCAUGCAUUGCAUGAGAGAAGCCAUUGGAGGCUUAGGAGACAAUGAGAAGUCACCAGAGAUGACGAGAGAAGAGAAGUCGCCGAUUGAAGGGCUAGGGUUAGUUGAGAGUGUUUUGAGAAAGGAGAGGAUCUUAGGGAGGCGGAUGUGAAAAUGGUUAGGGUUGGGGGCGUAUGGAAUAAAAAAGGCAAGACUGAACGAGGGUCGUUGAUCUAAAAGAUCAACGACCAUAAUUUAAUAGGUUUUGGAUCGGGUAUGGGUAAUUAGGGUAUGGGUCGGGUUAUUUAAUCCAAAAUUAGGCUGGGGUAUU
Molecule: long non-coding RNA, 2367 nt
Filed under: Nicotiana benthamiana
Lineage: Eukaryota; Viridiplantae; Streptophyta; Magnoliopsida; Solanales; Solanaceae
Description: long non-coding RNA (NBEN_LNC028418)
Source: RNAcentral